Molecule: long non-coding RNA, 2729 nt
Organism: Cannabis sativa
Lineage: Eukaryota; Viridiplantae; Streptophyta; Magnoliopsida; Rosales; Cannabaceae
Exons: 2
Source: RefSeq, a predicted model, not a curated record
AGCUUAAGCUUUCACUUUUUCCAAACUUGGCACAAGGCUGUUAUUCUUCGUGGGUUUCUGAGGUGGAAGAAUCGAAUUUUCAAGCAAAUUCUAAGGAUACUAUACUUGGAGCAGAUUCAAAGCGAACCUGGUAAGAAUUCCAUCCACAAAAUUGGAUUUUAAUUAGCUGAUAAAAAUGGCGGUCAACUUAUUUCUAAGGUUGAUUUGGAAGAGGUAGAGAUUGAAUCUUUCUCUUUUGCAAAACUUGGUUAUUUAUUUUUUUUUUUUUGGUGUGAAUCCCUUAUUUCAAGUUUUGAAGGUUUCAUUAAGAGAAUUUGGACAGAAUCAUUAGAAUGCAUUAUGGCUUCACAUUGGCCAGCUUUCAACUUUUCAUGACGAAGCAACUCCUAAUUUGAUUCUUGAGAUGAGAGUACUUCAUUGUGACAAGAAACAUGUGCUAUUACAUCUCUGGUGUAGUGAUCUUCGUACGAUUAAUUUUAGUGUGCUCAAUUCUAAUUUGGAUUUGAUUGAAUGGGUUGGGGCUUCAGUAUUGGAGGAGAAAUACCCUUAGGUGGCAUUUGGUUGGAGGUAAUGAGAUGGAAUAGAAAGGAAACCAUUUUUAUUCUAUUCCUUGUUUGGUUGCAUUUUAAAGUAUUGGAAUAUCAUUCCAAUGGAAUGGCCUUUCCACCAUUUUAGUGGAAUAAAUAUUCUAUUUUGAAAUGGAAUGAAAGACCAUUUCAAUGCAAGAUUUGAAAAAAAAAAAAUAAUUAUUUUUUUUAUCAAUUUUUUUAUGCAUUUUAAAUUUUAUUCUAUUCCAUUCCUAUUCCAAUUCCCAUUUCUAUUUCCAUUCCUAUAUUUUCAUUCCUCCCAACCAAACGGCACAUUAGUGCUCUUGUUAGCACAAAUGAAAAACCUACUGUGAUUUAUAAGGUAGAUCAAGGAUUACAUUUGCUCGAGUAUUUAUUAAAGUUUAGAUUUCAGAUGAGCUGCCCAGAUCAAUUAGUUUCUUUAAUGACCAUAUUCAAUUGAUGAAACAAGCUAUAAAGUAUGAAUGGCUCCCAUGCGUGUGGUAUUAAUUCUUGGUCGUAGUGUGAGAAUUGGCAAUAAAAAAUUACUAGGUCCUGGUGUGACAAUUACGGCUGCAAGUAACUCCUAUGAGGUGCUUCAGGAAUAAGUGGUUGCUGCUUUGAAUUUUUCUAAAGUUGUUGUAAAUGGAAAUGGUGCAAUAUAUAAAAAGAGAUUAGUAAACAAAUAUCUAUAAAUUCGAGUUUGGUGUGCUUUUUGAAACAAAAGUUCAUGGAGAUAAGGUUAGUGUUAUGAUGAAAAAUAAUGUGUCUGAUUGGGAUUUUCUAAUUUUCUUGUCUUUGCAAAAUUAUGCUAUUGAGCUUUUUUACAAUAGAUUUUAUCUUCAUUUUUCAGCUUAUUAUUGCAAGAGGUAGUAUAACACACUUCCUUUUCUUCUAUUUUUUUUCAUUUUUGGGUUUUGUUCUUUCUUUCUCUGCUUAAUCUUUUUUAUUCAACCAAUAUAAUUUGUAGAAAAUAAUAGAACAUUUUAAUAUAAAAUAAAAUAGAAGAAAAGGUAUUUUUAAAAUGAAAAGAAAAGUAAGAAAUGAUUUUGAAAAUUGGGGAAAAUUAGAUUGAUUAGAUUUAUAAAAUAAUCAUAUUAAUAUCAACAACUAAAACAAAAAGAUUAAUCGUAAGAUAACAACAUAGUUAUUUACGACUAGCUUGUAAUUACAUGUAAUUUUUAAUUAAAACAAAUAUAGUAUAAAGGGAUUAAUAUAUAUGUAUAUAUUGAAAAAAAAAAUAUAGUAAUAAGUGAAGAUGGAAUAUUCCUAUCUAACAUAAACGUUAACAAAUAAAUAAAUCCAAUAAUUAAACCCAAAAAAUUAAACCAUCUUUUUAUGAGGAAAUUACACAUGGGAUUUUAAAACUUUUUAUGAAAGAUAUGGCAGUUUUAUGUUUGUCCAUUUUUUAUGGCAUCUUUUGAUUUUUAAAUUGUUUUAUGGUAUUUUUUAUGUCAUAUAUGUGUAAACUUAAUUUUAAAUCCCAUAUUUAAUGUUUAGAGACAUUAUUACACAAAAUUGAAAGCUAUUUCUUCUCCUCCAUUCAAGCAUUGUACUUCCUCACUCCUUAACAGUCUACUUACCCAAAUCUAUUCACCAGCAACACAUCCAGCGAUCGGCGGCGACGACCCACACAUUCGGCGACCGGCGGCGGCAACCCACACAUUCGGCGACCGACGACUCAAAUGGACCCUAAAUAUGAGAUCUCUACCAACAAAACCCCAAAGACUCGAAUAGAUUCCAUGGCCGUUGGAGAUCUAAAUCUACACCGUAAUUGGAGCUCAACCGCUUGGUCCCGAACUCGUACAUAUUCUGAGAUUCUAAUGGCUAACUCCAGUGACGACUUUGGCAUCAAGUUGACAAACUCUAGUGACAGCGAUAGCUCCGAAAUUUUUUUCGAUAAUUUUUUCCAGUAACGAUGCCGAUUUUGACGACUUUUUUUUUGGCACCGUUAGAAACUCCAGUGACUUUCCGUCAAUGUUAGCAAAUUUCGACUACUUUUUUGGCACGACAAUAACUCUUGUGACUAGGUUGGUGGUCAAGUCUUAGAGCUUCUAAGAAGGAUGUAAAAUUUAUAUAAGUUUUAGUUUUUGUAUUUGUUCUUUUAUUAAGAAACUCGUUUUUGAUUAUAUAGAAUUAAUUGGUUUAUUAAAAUAUUGUCUUAAUAAAAUUAUUUUAAUAUUA